AUACGGAGGAUCCGAGCGUUAUCCGGAUUUAUUGGGUUUAAAGGGUGCGCAGGCGGCCAUUUAAGUCAGCGGUUAAAUCGUGGGGCUCAACCCCAUUCUGCCGUUGAUACUGGGUGGCUUGAUUGCGGUCGAGGUUGGCGGAAUUCGUUGUGUAGCGGUGAAAUGCAUAGAUAUGACGAAGAACACCGAUUGCGUAGGCGGCUGGCCAGACCGCAAAUGACGCUCAUGCACGAAAGUGCGGGGAUCGAACAGGAUUAGAUACCCUGGUAGUCCGCACAGUAAACGAUGAAUACUUGUUUUCGGCGAUAUAAUGUCGGAGGCAAAGCGAAAGCGAUAAGUAUUCCACCUGGGGAGUACGCCGGCAACGGUGAAACUCAAAGGAAUUGACGGGG
Molecule: ribosomal RNA, 392 nt
Filed under: uncultured bacterium
Lineage: Bacteria
Description: partial 16S ribosomal RNA
Rfam family: Bacterial small subunit ribosomal RNA
Source: RNAcentral